AUUUAUGGUGAGGUCGAUAGGGGGGCCCACGAGAUCCUCCAAUCUGCGCCCGAGGCAGAUAUUUGUCUUGUGGGCCCGAACGAGUCCGACCCCCACGCCCAGGGUCGAGCAAGGCGGAGUUUUGCAGCGGGGGUCGGGCGCUCCCGACCCCGGUCCCCUGAAUCGGGCGAGGCGGAGUUUAGUGUUCAAGGGGUCGGGAAUGUCUGACCCCGGGACACCGGGUCGGGCGAGGCGGAGCGUGGCCUCUCCCUCCCGUAUUGGGCUGACGGUAGUCUUGUUACCUUAAGUGGGCCUGGGCCUUUACAUUUUGUUGUUUCCAUGGGCUUGGGGAGAUCGUUAAUAUUUCCGCCCAACAGUAGCCCCCGAGCCUGUGGUGGAGCGGGGACGCUCCUCCAGAGGCUGUUAUGAUCGCCAGUAUGGGAUCCUCGCGGUUGAUCCGGGACAGGAGGUGUUGUUCGGAUGGCUUGACCGAGG
This 474-nucleotide long non-coding RNA is filed under the name Setaria viridis. RNAcentral describes it as "long non-coding RNA (SVIR_LNC007768)". Lineage: Eukaryota; Viridiplantae; Streptophyta; Magnoliopsida; Poales; Poaceae. The record is from RNAcentral.